Non-coding RNA from Chrysemys picta bellii (western painted turtle), 428 nucleotides. NCBI's taxonomy places the organism in Eukaryota, Metazoa, Chordata, Testudines, Emydidae. The record is from RefSeq and is a predicted model, not a curated record.
ACUAUCCCUCUCUCUCCUUUAGGUUCUGGUGGAGAGGAGGAAAAGCCAGUGCCACCCGGUGGUGCCACAGAAGAGGAAGGUUCCGGUGGAGAGUGGGAAAAGCCAGUGCCGCCCGGUUGUGCCAAACGAGGAGAAGGUUCCAGUGGCAAGGGGCAGAAGUCAGUGCCACCUGGUUGUGCCAAACGAGGGGAAGGUUCCAGUGGCAAGGGGCAGAAGCCAGUGCCACCCGGCGCUGCCAAACGAGGGGAAGAUAAAAAGGUGAAGGGACACAAAGGAAAGAUCCAUGUCUCUUAGCCACCAACCCACAGAAGAGAAUUCUGGCUCCCCCCACGCUUCGUCUGUUUGCUUCACCCAAUGGAAGAUUGUCACGUGCCAAUCGGCAGCUCUAUUUCCUGGGUGGUCCCAGCUGCUGAGAUGUCGAAUCGGGC